AAAUGUUUAUUAUUCAUGCUAGAAUUGUAUUAACCGGAAACAUAAUACAUGUGUGAAUACAUAGACAAACAUCGUGUCACUAGUAUGCCUCUACUUGACUAGCUUGUUGAUCAAAGAUGGUUGUGUUUCCUAGCCAUAGACAUGGGUUGUCAUUUGAUUAACGGGAUCACAUCAUUAGGAGAAUGAUGUGAUUGACUUGACCCAUUCCGUUAGCUUAGCACUUGAUCAUUUAGUAUGUUGCUAUUGCUUUCUUCAUGACUUAUACAUGUUUCUAUGACUAUGAGAUUAUGCAACUCCCGUUUACCGAAGGAACACUUUGUGUGCUACCAAACGUCACAACGUAACUGGGUGAUUAUAAAGGAGCUCUAAAGGUGUCUCCGGAGGUACAUGUUGAGUUGGCGUAUUUCGAGAUUAGGAUUUGUCACUCCGAUUGUCGGAGAGGUAUCUCUGGGCCCACUCGGUAAUGCACAUCACUAUAAGCCUUGCAAGCAUUGUAACUAAUGAGUUAGAUGCAGGAUGAUGUAUUACGGAACGAGUAAAGAGACUUGCCGGUAACGAUAUUGAGCUAGGUAUUGAGAUACGACGAUCGAAUCUCGGGUAAGUAACAUACCGAUGACAAAGGGAACAACAUAUGUUGUUAUGCGGUUUGACCGAGAAAGAUCUUCUUAGAAUAUGUAGGAGCCAAUAUGAGCAUCCAGGUUCCGCUAUUGGUUAUUGACCGGAGGCGUGUCUCGGUCAUGUCUACAUUGUUCUUGAACCCAUAGGGUCCGCACGCUUAAAGUUCGGUGACGAUUUAUAUUAUGAGUUUAUGUGUUUUGAUGUACUGAAGGAGUUCGGAGUCUCAGAUGAGAUCGGGGACAUGACGAGGAAUCUUGAAAUGGUCGAGACGUAAAGAUCGAUAUAUCUUUACCUAAUAAUAAAGCAAAUUGGGUUUCUGUCGUCCGUCAUCAUGGCAGUUUUUCAAAAAGGCCCCUCGGUUUAAAUGAUAUCAACCCGCACUCCCUAUUUUAGUAAAUAAUAAAGCAUCUAGACUGUUUCUGACCGCACCGGCAGUGUUGUAGGCCGCCGCGGAGAACGGGGUGCACGGGGUGGCGUAGCAGGGGCCCCCGGCGAGUGGGGAGCAGGAGGCGCAAUGCAUCCCAGCACCGCACGACGACUGCGAGCCCGUGGCUCACCUGUCGCCCACCAACGCGGACUCUGAGGCCAUCCCGACAGAGAGAAUCAGGAUGAGGAGGAUGCCGCUGCAGCGAGCCAUCCCGACGGCGAGGGCGGCCAUCGUACGCUCGCUCGCUUGCUGUCCACCGCCGGCAGUCCCCUCCGGCCUUGACGCGGACGGGAGGGAGAGACCCCUGAUGUCGACAUCUCCAUCGCGCGGCGCGUCACACGCGGAUCUCAUCGGAGAACCUGAGGGUGGCCGUCCAAGGGGAAGGAGUGGAAGAGGACGCCGGCAUGCAAGCUGUGCGAGGUGCAGAUCCAGCUGAAGGUCUGCCGCGACCGCACCGUGGCCGGGGCGUGCGCCGACGGCCUGCAAGCAUAGAACGAAAUGAGAGAGAGAGAGAGAGAGAGAGAGAGAGAGACACGCGCGCGCACACACACACACACAUGGGAGAGGGAGCGGAGGGGACGAGAUCCGGUGGCGGCGCUCGCUCCGGUGGAACGGGGGGAUGCCAGCGACUUUGCACAUCUAGCGCUGCAUAUUUGUGGAAGCACGGGGAUGAGAAAGAGGGAGCUAGAGAAGGGAGCUGGAUGCAGAUGAAUCUCGGUGGGUGGAGACGAAUGGAUAAGAUAGCGGUGGAGGUACACACGUGACGAC
This 1813-nucleotide long non-coding RNA is filed under the name Triticum aestivum (bread wheat). RNAcentral describes it as "long non-coding RNA (TAES_LNC008976)". The record is from RNAcentral. Lineage: Eukaryota; Viridiplantae; Streptophyta; Magnoliopsida; Poales; Poaceae.